Molecule: ribosomal RNA, 279 nt
Filed under: uncultured bacterium
Lineage: Bacteria
Description: partial 16S ribosomal RNA
Rfam family: Bacterial small subunit ribosomal RNA
Source: RNAcentral
UGCCAGCCGCCGCGGUAAUACGUAGGGUACAAACGUUGUUCGGAAUCACUGGGCAUAAAGCGCACGUAGGCGGUUCGCCAAGUCAGGUGUGAAAUCCCCCGGCUCAACCGGGGAACUGCAUCUGAUACUGGCGAACUCGAGGAUGGUAGGGGUGAGCGGAACUCCAGGUGGAGCGGUGAAAUGCGUAGAUAUCUGGAGGAACACCGGUGGCGAAGGCGGCUCACUGGGCCGGACCUGACGCUCAUGCACGAAAGCGUGGGUAGCGAAGAGGAUUAGAUA